UUUUCUCCUUCUUUUACCUGAAACUGAGAUGGCGGCACCCUUAUUCAGAGAAAUCGAGACAGGCUGAGAUGGAGACAUUGUUGAUGAUUUGAAUUUAGAGAGAAGAGAAGCAACAUCUCAGUUGCUGAAUCAAUUCGAGAAUGAAAUGGAGUUACAGUUUGAAUCAAGAAGAAAUCAAGGAUUCUGAAGUUAGGGUUUGGUUUUUGCUGCUCAUGUAGAUAUAUGAGAUGAAUGGAGAAGAAGCUGGUGAUUCAGAAGGAUGUUGAGCUCGAGUAUGAGAUGACAUAGGUACGAUCAGAAUAACUUAGGGUUUGUUCUGAAUCUCAGUUUAAGAAGAACAAGGUACUGUGUUGUUGGUUUUGAUGGAUGUGUAUGAGCUGAACGGUAGUGCAAGUUGUGGCCUGAAUGGAUUACUAAAAUGAAGCUGAGAUGAAUUGAGGUGAUCUGGUGAUGUUGGUUUGUGAAGAACAAUUGGGUGUUGAAGGAAAGUUUGUGGUACUGAAGCUGAUUUGCAAGUACAGUGCUGGAACUCGAGAUUGUGAUGCUUGAAGACUCGUGAUGGUGGUAAAGGGUAUUGCACAGAGAAAGUUGUCUGGUGGUUGUGUUGGAGGUGCUGGAAAACUAUGAAGGUGUUGGCUCAAGAAUGGUCAGAUGAAUGUUAGGUUAACAAGCAACUGGAAGCUGAGGUCUGUGAAGUAGCGGUGAUUGAUUGAAGCAAUAACAUCUGAUGAUUUUCAAAUAUGAGAAGAAGUUGUAUUGCAGCUGUAGCUCUAGACGGUUUGUUGGUGGAAUCAAAUAGCUUGCAGAAUGGGGUUGUUAUGGUGUUGCAGUGGUUAUGUACGACACAUAAAUGGAGAUUGCUAUUGAACAUGAGAAUGACAAGUGCUUGAGUAUGAGAUAAUUUGUUGUUAGUGAUAUGCUACAAGAUAAAUUCAGUGACAAUGACUUGAGGCUUGGUUGUUGAGAUAAGUUGCAACUACAGACUCAAAACAAGGACAUGGAAGAAGAUGGUGGAUGUUUGAGUGAUGUAUGUUGUUUGAUUUGGUUGCAGCUGCUACAGAAUUACAGUAAUGGAUGAAUGGUUGUGCAAGCUUGAACUUGAGAUGAAGAAGUUGGUAGCAAAGGAAUACAAUAAUGGAGUUGGUGCUGUUGGUUGUGCUGGAGUGACUUGAUGCAGGAAAUUGCAGGUGAUUGGUGUUGUAGUGUGAAGUAUAGAUGCAUGUGUAGGAGUGCAGUGCCGCAAUGAAUGCAAUGAGUUUGCAGAGAUGAUGUUGCAGUUGUGCAAGGGUUAGAAGUCAGGUUCAGUUGCUGUGUACGGCUGAAGUGGUGGUUGAUGCUGGUUAUGCUAGGUGCAGCUGGACUGGAGUAGCUUGCAGUUACACAAAACUGACUAGGUUAGAGAGUAUAUGGCCUGAGAAAUGACAGAGUGCCUGGACCAGAACUGCAGAGACAGUGCGAAAACACAACUAGAAUGGCGAGACAGUGGUACUAGUUCCGGUUGUUGGAUUUCGGAAAGAAAAGUGGGAAUCUUAAAGUUUUAUUGAAUCAUGAAGGGGGUACGAGUCAGAUGUAAAGUUUGGCGUCCGGGUAUAUGAGUAUGGAGUCGCGCUUUUGGGCACGUUUCUGCAAGAACAAGGAAUUUUCUUAGAUGGUUUCUGCGAAUGUAUGAACUAUAGAGAAAAAGAGUUAGAGUUGCUGGAAGUAUAUAUUUUCCGGUGACAGUUUACGAUGACUCAGGUAACUGGGAACAUUUUUAGAUGACCGGAUCCCGGCGACAAUGACCAGAUACCGGUGAUGACAUCAGCAAACCGACGCCCCGGUUUUGGACCCAGAAUUUCCAGAACAGAUGUUUUAACUCAUGGGAUUGGUGGACUACUAGUGGAUGGACUUUGAAAACUUGGACCUAAUUUUGGAGAAAAGUUACAAAAGAUACUAAUCCCUGGCUCCCAAGAAUUGGAAUUAUCCAAGGUGUGGAAUCAUUACUCGUGAAGGAACAAUACUCCAAGCAAGACUUGACGAGACGGAAGAACAAGAGUUGGAAGUGGAAGAGGUUUUACAACUAGUAGAAGAACAAGAGGUUCCGGUUGAACAAGAGAUACCUUUUGAAGAAGAAGAAGAAGAAGAAGAAGAAGAAGCAAUGGGUGAUGCGAAUUGUACACUCAAGGACCUAGCUUCUCACAAGCUCGAUACACAACAAUGGUGUAUCCAAACAAACUCAACCUUUGAGAUCAAUCCGGGGUUGAUUAGAGAGGCUUACCAAAGUUUCAUGGCAUGUCGAAUGAAGACCCAAACAAACAUCUUAUGGACUUCCACGCCAUAGUCAGGGCAAUGCUUCCAUCGGAGACUAAUGCGGAUGGUGCAAUGUUGAAAGUUUUUCCAUUCUCUUUGGCGGAUAGUGCUAAGGAUUGGUUGUAUUAUUUUCCUUCUAGAAGUGUCACAACACGGAAUGGGUUGAAAAAAAUCUUUUUAGAGAGAUAUUUCCUGCAUCAAAGGCUACUCAAAUUCACAAGGAGAUUUAUGGAAUGAAGCAACAUGUGGGGGAAUUAUUGUAUGAGUGUUGGGAGCAAUACAAGAGAUUGGAAGCAAGCUGUCUACAUCACCAUUUCAGUGAUGUUAUGAUACUCCAAUACUUUUAUGAAGGUCUUCAACCAAGUGAUAGAUCUCUUCUUGACGCCACGUGUGGUGGUGCACUAAUGAACAAGAUGGUGGCCCAAGCUACCGAGUUGAUUGAAAGUAUGGCUGCAAACUCGCAACAAUUUUGCACUAGAGGUGAACCAAUGGUUAGGCGAGUGCAUGAAGUUUAUGAUUCAUCAUCACACCUUGAUCAAAGGAUGGGUAGUAUAGAGAGAAUGAUGCAAAAUAUGGCUGCAGUUAUUAUACCUUCAUAUGAUGAAGAGUUGGAGCAAGCUAGUGCGGUCUUUCCAAAUCAGCAAAAGACGGUAUGAUCCCUACUCCAACACUUACAAUCUGGGAUGGAGAGAUCACCCAAACUUUAGAUAUGCCAACAAACAAGGAGCGGUUUCACAACCUACUUUCAACCGUCCAAGAGGGUUCCAAUCACAACAGCAACAAUUCCAGCCGCAACAACAAACUCAAAAUCAAGGUUCCUUUCUCGAUGAAAAGCUUCAAAGCAAUGAUGCAAGGCUUUACUACUAUGUUUGAACAAAGUCAACAAGAGACCAAGAGUGAGAUCAAUUACUUGCAAACACAAAUUGGUUCCAUGGAUACUGAGUUGAACCAAGUGAAGGCACAAAUUGGUGGGAAACUCCCUUUCAACCUCUUAACCCAAAAGGGGAUGUCAAUGCCAUUACGUUGAGAAGCGGUACACAACUUGUGCAACCCGAACUUACUGAUUUGGGCAAAGAGGAAGCUCCAAAGGAACCUGUUUUGGAGGAGAAGAAUGAGGAUUCUCCCCAAACUUCUGAGGAAAGAAUCACGCUGUCAAGAUUCUACGAAGUUCAAGAUUUCAUCAUCAAGAGUUGAAGACCGAAGACGAAGAUGAAGACCAGGAUUAAAGACCGAAGACGUUUCUAUGGAUGUUGUGAGAGCGGUGCUAACUGCACGUCAAACGGAUAACGCGAUAAGUAAACAUAUUCCCACCUUCGUUAAGUGGUUGAUUUCCUUUGUUAGAGAUCGUCGGAAAAAAUGGUUUUCAAAAUGAUAAAAGAUGUGGGUUUUCAAAACAAUUCGGAGGGUUUUGUCUUCCUACUGUUCAACGUGUGGCAGGACUCUCUCUUCAUUCCUACCUGGACACAUGUGUGACCCCAUAAAAAGCUAUUUAUUAUUGAGAGAAACUUCAUAAAACCCUUUCUUGUGAGGCAGAGUCGAGACUUUUGAUCACUCUCGAACCCGAAUUUCUUUCGAUAAGGGAUGGUUAUCUCACUCUCAACUUUUAAGGAUGAGAUUGUG
This is a long non-coding RNA of Papaver somniferum (opium poppy), 3909 nucleotides long. RefSeq lists it as uncharacterized. NCBI's taxonomy places the organism in Eukaryota, Viridiplantae, Streptophyta, Magnoliopsida, Ranunculales, Papaveraceae. The transcript is spliced from 3 exons. The record is from RefSeq and is a predicted model, not a curated record.